Molecule: RNA transcript, 4151 nt
Organism: Zea mays
Lineage: Eukaryota; Viridiplantae; Streptophyta; Magnoliopsida; Poales; Poaceae
Gene name: mucin pseudogene
Exons: 1
Source: RefSeq, marked validated
ACGCUGCGCGCGUCCGUGAUGCCGGGGAUCUGCAACCCCCCAUCCCCUAGCCCCCUCCCCGCCCCUGCUCCCCCCACGCUGCGCGUGUCCGUGAUGCCGGGGAUCCAUCUCCUCUCCCCCAUCUCUCCUGUACGCACUCUCUCUCUCCUCCCCAAGCUGCUGACUGGCUCGCGAAGUCGCCAAGGGAUCAAUCGAGAUCUAAUCUCGUUUCUGAGAUGGGUGCAUCUACCGCCAUGGGAGCGCUCGAGCAGGCCCACCUCGCGGCCGUCGCUUCCGCAUGCGAUGAUGAUGAGCAAAACGACGCCGCAGGCCUUGCACGACGGCGACGAACCCGUCGACACCGCGUCGCCGGCGACGAGCCCCGACGGGGAUGCCACGAAGCAGCAGGAUUGCGCGUCCUCCGCCACGCCGCAUUCUCCUCCGCCGGCGGCGGCGACGGCGGGCUGCUGGAGCACCUUGUCGAGCGUGGCGCGGAGGCCAGCGGCGACGGCCUCGUGGCUCCUGGCGACGCCCAGCCACGCCUGGCCCUCCCCGGCUAGCUGCCGGAGCCGCUCCUCCAGAUCCGCGCCGCGGCGGCGCGCGCGCUCCAGCUCUGCCUCCGCGGCGCGGAGCCGAGCCUCCGCCGCGCGGCCCACGGCUGGCUCACGGUCCAGCAUCAUGGCAACGUAGAGCGGCAGCACAGCCGUGAGCACUGGUCGGGCGUGAAGAUGCGCUACCACCGGAUCCUCCCAAGAGUUUGUUUCUCUGCAGAGAACCCAUGGUCAUGCGACGAGCCACGGCUCAUCGACGAAAGCCGCUUCACUGCAAGUCUGCAACAUGCUCACCAUCCAGCAUUGUCGUCAUCUUGUACACAAUCCUAGCUCCUCUCCUCCUUCAGACUGUCUAGGCGCUGGAACGCAGUGAGUCUCCAACUGUGUGCCUCGCUGGCCUUCUUUAGUAAUCGGGCCUUCAAGAUUGCCAUGCAACAAACGCAAUGGAGCAGACAAGCAAGCCAAGGACAAUUAGCAACUUGAAGGUAUUGGACAUGCCAUCGUAGGUGUGUGCAUCAUGGCCUAGUCGCUAGCACGAGCCCAGACAGGUUAUUGUAGAAGUCUAUGGCCGUAAGGCUCUGCAUUGCAGCAAUGGUUGCCGAUAUUUCUCCACCAAGGUGGUUCCGGGACAGGUUCAGGUAGUUGAGUAUUCGGCUAUUAAUGGUUAUUUCGACUGAGGUCCAGGUAGGUGAGCAAGCGGUACUUCCCAUCUCCGGCGACGCACCAGUGCCGGAAAUCGGCAGGAAGCUACCGGACAGGGAGCCGGUCGUCGGCGAUCCAGCGCAUCGGAUCGGGCGGCAGAGAAGGACUCGGGUUGUUUUGAAAAACGGGGUAGGCGAUCAUAGGGCCACCUCCUUCGUUACUGAGCUCCGGUUAUGGCUGAUGAUGCUCGACAGUGGUUAAAUCUGGCAAGAAGCACAAAAUACCAAAGUUGUGGGUGUUAUAAUACUAGAAAUGCAAUUGCUUGGUUCAGGAUAAUAAUUUUACGAAGCCCAGACAUGGGAUACCUCCGUUCCAAAAAAACUCUCAGAGACACCGUGUCCGUCGACGAACAAAGGAUUUACUGUGACGCAACGCACGCACCUCGACCCGCACCAGCGCGUCGACCUCCACGCCCUGGUGGUACAGCUGCGACAGGACGCCACUGGCCAUCGGGCGGCUGGUGUUGGGGCUUGACGAGGACGACCGCCAUGAGGGCCUGUGCUGGACACCCAAGCAUGUCUCCAAGGCCUUCCGCGAUGGCACCCGAGGUACAGGGGUCCCACUGCUUUCAACUCUCCAAUUUCCCUCUCCCCUGACAUCGUGGAUCCGUCUGUAACUGUCGUCCCCGUGCUUUGUCUCUCUGUGGAAAAUGGUGUCUUCCUUCUUACUAUCUCGUUCUACACCCUCCACAUGCUUGCACGGUGUUUGGGUUGAUGUUCAUGUCAGUGUUAAUAUUCUAAGCAAUCACGCCUAUCUUAUAAGAUUAGUGACCACAAAUAUAUUCACUUUAAGUUCUUGUUGGUACAGUCUUGCAUGUGGUUCCAAAGUGUAGUUUAUUACCCAUGUUUCUUCCUGUGAAAAUAAGGCUAUAUAAUUUGGUCAACAAAAAACAAGGUUAAAUAUGUUGUUUGCUGGUAUUUUUCAUGUAACCUAUAUGUUUACAUGUUAUUUGCAAAUACCCCAGCAGAAAGUUAUAUGCACACUGACUAACUGUGUUGAAUGCAUAAAGCAGGCGCACAAUCACACCUGCCUGGAUGGCACUUUGGCUAUUCUUUUUCCUUUUUAAUAAUAGAAAAAACAGGUAAAUUAUAUAUGCAAAUAACCGUUGGAAAAAUCCUUCCUUGUGAGCAUUGCUAAUAGUUUGUGAAAUUCAUCUAUAUGCAUGGAAACAUCUUGCAGAGCAUGCAGGGCUUUAUAUCCCAUUAGACAGAGCACAUUAGACGACAGAGUGGUGUCAACUUUGGGCAUAUCGGGAGCUAGGAGAGCAUGGGCGGCAGGCUUCUGCCAUGGUCAAUUUUUUUGGUUUUGGCUCCCUCAUGUGCAGGGCCGAUGCAAGCGAAGGUGAUAUUGAGGGCCCCUUUGGUAGGGCUUAUUUUUCAGCUUCGGCUCUGGCUCAUGCAAAAGUUAUGCCAAACACCUCUUUUUCAAAUGGCUUCACCAGUGAAGUGCUUUUCCAAAAUGAACUAUAGGGCAUGAGCCAAAAAAGUGGCUCACCCGGCUUCAGCUCACGUCAUUUUUGCACAAUAGCCCUCCCACCAGUCCAAAUUAUUUUUUGGUCCUGCCCUCAAUCCCUAGCCACGUACAGGAGAGAUAAACUAUACCAGGGUCUUUCUGAAAAACAACCUAUAAGCCGUUUUGCCAAAUAAUUUUUCAGAAUGGCUUUGGCUCAUCUAAAGAAGUGGCUUCACCUCGUGAGCCAGAGCCAAAGUCGUUUUUGGAGAAGCCAGAGCCCUGUCAAAGGGGCCCUGAAACAUCUAGAGAGGAGGGGCUCAGCAGUAUCUGAGAGAGCUAAAACUAUGUAAAUUAUUUAAGGGGGUGUUUGGUUUAUAGGGACUAAUUUUUUUGUCCAUCAAUUUUAUUAUAUUUUAGUCCCUAAAAUAUUAAAUAUGGAAAAUAAAACUCUAUUUUAGUUUAACUAUUUAGAAAUUUAGUAACUAAAAUGAAAUAAAAUAAAGGGACUAAAAAUUAGUGAUGGAGUACCGCCAGUGUUAAGCCAGUAAACUGGCGCAUGCUGGUCCAGAGUAAUUAAGGUAAGAAUGUAGGAUAUGGAGACUGGUAAAUACGUAGGGUUGUUUUUAGUUAUUACUAUACUAUUUUGUAAUGUAAUUAAUGUUCGUCGCUACUUCCCAGCAGUGGUGUAGUUGCUCCUGAUUUGUUCGCCCAUCAUGAUGUACAUGAUCAUCACUCAUGUUCUCUCCUUACAUGCUUAGGCUUCCGAUCGUUUUGUAGCUGUUGUGAUAGAGAUCUGACAAGUCUAAGCAGGAAAGUGUGUAGAACUCCCCGCUGUCAAAAUGUAAUUAUUUCUGGUGAAAUCUAGAGUUCUGUAGAAAUUUUGCAUUCCAUCAAACAGUCAAUACAUUACACAUGCAUUUGUCGAUUGUUCUUUUCGUUGGAAGUAGUUUGAUCAUUCCCAUAUGUUCAUACCUAAUGCAAUAGUCACUUUCGGAUUGAUGUGGCAUUACACGAACAUAGUUUUUAUUUUUAACCCAUGUUCAUUGACUUGCAGAUUCUGGAAGCACUUACAGCAAAGAAUUGCCGAGAGGACUUUUCGCAGGAAUCAUUAGAGACACUUGGGGAUUCUUUUUCAACUAUAUUACAGCCCAACACUUUUUUGGCAAAUACAAAAAUCAGCAUGAAGGCGCGCUGACCAAGAUGAAUAAAAACGUGAUCUCGAAUGCAGCUUUAUGCCAGCUUGCUUGCAGUAACAGUCUUGCGGUAGUCUUACCUAACCUGGCUUCUUUUUUGAAAUCUUAAGUUUUGUUUACGUGAGUUGUCCCUAGAAUCGUAGAUUUGCAAACAUAAUCUACCGAAUACAGCAGUUUGGAUCAGCAUAGUAUCUGAAUUUGCUCCUGAUUGUAUUCUAUGCAAUGUCGUGUAAUAUACUUGCCUGAUUUAUUGUGUUUCCCUUAUAAUUGCCGU